UCGAGGGGCAGCACAUGAAGUAGCAAUACGAUGGUGGCGACCGGCGCACGGGUGCGUAACACGUAUGCAACCUACCUGUAAGAGGGGAAUAACCCGGAGAAAUUCGGACUAAUACCGCAUAACACUUUAUCUCUGCAUGGAGAUACAGUUAAACAUUUAUGGCUUACAGAUGGGCAUGCGUAUGAUUAGCUAGUUGGUGAGGUAACGGCUCACCAAGGCAACGAUCAUUAGGGGUUCUGAGAGGAAGGUCCCCCACACUGGUACUGAGACACGGACCAGACUCCUACGGGAGGCAGCAGUGAGGAAUAUUGGCCAAUGGGCGAGAGCCUGAACCAGCCAAGUCGCGUGAAGGAUGACUGCCCUAUGGGUUGUAAACUUCUUUUGUAAGGGAAUAAAAAAAGGUACGUGUACUUUAUUGUAUGUACUUUACGAAUAAGGAUCGGCUAACUCCGUGCCAGCAGCCGCGGUAAUACGGAGGAUCCAAGCGUUAUCCGGAUUUAUUGGGUUUAAAGGGUGCGUAGGCGGACCCUUAAGUCAGUGGUGAAAGUUUGCAGCUCAACUGUAAAAUUGCCAUUGAAACUGAGGGUCUUGAGUGUAAAUGAGGUAGGCGGAAUGUGUUGUGUAGCGGUGAAAUGCUUAGAUAUAACACAGAACACCAAUUGCGAAGGCAGCUUACUGGGAUACACCUGACGCUGAGGCACGAAAGCGUGGGGAUCAAACAGGAUUAGAUACCCUGGUAGUCCACGCAGUAAACGAUGAAUACUAACUGUAUGCGAUAUACUGUAUGUGGUAA
Molecule: ribosomal RNA, 793 nt
Filed under: uncultured bacterium
Lineage: Bacteria
Description: bacterial SSU rRNA
Rfam family: Bacterial small subunit ribosomal RNA
Source: RNAcentral